RNAcentral lists this ribosomal RNA (301 nucleotides) under uncultured bacterium. RNAcentral's name for it is "partial 16S ribosomal RNA". It matches the Rfam family "Bacterial small subunit ribosomal RNA", at positions 509 to 807 of the family's 1533-position model. The record is from RNAcentral.
CAGUAGCCGCGGUAAUACGUAGGGUGCAAGCGUUAAUCGGAAUUACUGGGCGUAAAGCGUGCGCAGGCGGUUUGUUAAGUCAGAUGUGAAAUCCCCGGGCUCAACCUGGGAACUGCAUUUGAGACUGUAUGGCUAGAGUGUGUCAGAGGAUGGUGGAAUUCCCGGUGUAGCGGUGAAAUGCGUAGAGAUCAGGAGGAACAUCAGUGGCGAAGGCGGCCAUCUGGGACAACACUGACGCUGAGGCACGAAAGCCUGGGGAGCAAACAGGAUUAGAUACCCCGGUAGUCCCUGUCUCUUAUAC